This is a long non-coding RNA of Plodia interpunctella (Indianmeal moth), 425 nucleotides long. RefSeq lists it as uncharacterized. The record is from RefSeq and is a predicted model, not a curated record. The transcript is spliced from 2 exons. Lineage: Eukaryota; Metazoa; Arthropoda; Insecta; Lepidoptera; Pyralidae.
UAUGUUAACUUUAUCAGGUAGUCUCGGAUCUGUUGCACCUCGACUCACACUUAACCCAGAUACAGAAUGUUCGCUAGUUUGGAACUUCGCUUUAGCAUGCUAUGCAUACAGAUCGUGUGACUUGCUGCAGCCACGACAUUCUCCUCGUGUUCACUUGGAUUGAACACGUAUAUGCCUAUUCCCAUAUUAUAUAAUGCGACCGGAGAGCAUGGAUGAACAGAACAUCGCUUCUCUUCAUACGCAUGCAGUACAGAAGAAACGAGUGAGAUAUCUCUCUGGAAUAGAAUAGAAUAGACAUCAUUUAUUCCAAAGAAUAUGGUGAUAUAAAUAGAUGACAACAAUAAAAAAUUCAACAUAUUCUGCCACAGUUGGCGUAGGAAUGUCAAGUAUUAAAAUUACAUUAAAAAAUUACAUUUUAAAUGUUA